UUAAGGGAAUUUGUUGGAAAUUUUUUUCAUAACAAUUCAUUAAAACGUGUGUUCAAUAAAAAUAAAUCAAUUGUAAAGUGCUCAUAAUCAAUAACCAAAAUAGUCGUUUGAAGCUUUUAGAUGAAUAAGAAUCAAGAGAAAACGUAGGCCAUUAGGAAGUGUGAAUAAUAAGACAAUAAUUCAAAGGCAACAAGUUUCAACCAUACAAACAUGGAUGUAUGGUAAAUGAAAGAAAAAGUUCCAGAAAUCAGCAACCAGAGGUCAACGAGCAACAUCGGAACCGUAUUAACAGGGAUGUACGGUAAUUGAAAGAAAAAUUCCAGCAUCAACAACGAGUUCAUGAUUGGCGAGUCGAUUAGGUUGGUCAAAAGGGUUAACUGAGCAUCAAACAUCAAACAUCAGGGUCAACGGAGCAUAUCUUCUACAGUCAAAGCAAAUUGUUGCAGAAAGUGUCAAUACGCGGUUUUCAACCUCUUGGGACGAAAAAUGAUCGCAAAUACUUUAAAACAAAUCAGAUGAUUUUUCCCAAACACAUCAACCAUUUCAUGUAAUACCAAUUUUCGGGCGAGAAAACAUCAAGAUUCUUGUAGCUGGCAUGUAAUAAAGGAUGGUUCAACAGUAGCAUAACUCCAAAAGUUGCAAUUGCCACUAGCAACGAACAAUUUCCGCCAAAGAAAUAGUCAAAAUGUUCUUAGCUGAACAAGUAUCAACAACACAACCAAUUAGAGGAAGGAUGACAUUAAAUUCAUAAACGACAGAUACAACAAACAUUUCAGCAGAAAAAGCCACAUUUUUCAAGCUGUCGUCACAUACGCAAAUUUCAACAGCAUCCUAAGGCAGCAAGAACCAAUUAUCGAUAUACCGAAAAAAAAACACAACCAACAAAAUACGUUUUUCAUCACAAUGAUUUUAAGACUAUUAAUUGGAAUCAAAAGGACAGUAUGCGUGAACAUCCUGUUUUCAAUGGAACAGCUGUUAGAGCAAGUGGGCACAAGAUUUUUCUCACGGAAUAACCAGAAAAAAGCAAAAGUUGCAAGAAUCACGUAGAUUUGAAGUCAAAAACAAGGAAAAGAAUAUCGUAACAAAAUGAGAUCAACCAUUAGGAGAAAUCAAAGAAGCAGUGUGGGGAUCGCACAACAGUUAAUCACCGAGAAACACAACGAAGCAACGAGAAGUAGAUGCUUGGUUUUUGCCCUAAUGACUCACUGAAAGACUCAGCCAUGAUCAACAACAUCUAGACAUCGGGAUUCAUCAAAAUCAAAGUAUUUUUAUAUCACAAUAUCACGGCGAAGACGGUAGCGGAAUACGGAGUCAACAGUUGCCAUUUGAAGCACAGGUAUGAGUUUAAUAUAAAACAAAAAAAUAUAUAUAUAUAUAUAUAUCAAGAAAAGACAAGAACACCAAUCUAAUUUUAAAAUUUGAUAGAAAAAGCUUAGCUAGAAAAAUUAUCAGCCAGGGACAUAAAUAAAUCAGAUUCAAUAGAAACAAAACAAGAGCACUAUAAAAAUAUUAGUUAUAAGCAGAAGGAAAACAGUAUGUAAAUCAACUCUUAUUCGAAAAAAAAAAGAUCAUUGGGACAGAAACAUGACCAACAUUUUAAAAAAAAUUAAGAAAUUUUAAGAAAUUUCUUAAUUUUUUGCGGGAAAAGUAAGGGAAUGCAACAAACCGCUGAAUUGAGAUUCAGCAAUUUAUUGCCAAAAUGAUAAUUUUUGCCAUUUUUCGGGAAUGGGGCAUACGUCACCCUUUUCCCCAAUCAAUUGCAACAAUUUUGCAUUUUUCGCUCAUGACGAAAUAAGGGAUAUGAAGAAUGCCAAAGGAAAAAGAUUUCUUGAGCCCACACGAUGUGUGGAGCACAAUGACACCAAUUGUUAGAAACACGGACGGAAAGCGCCCAGAAGGAGAAGAGUCAGGAAUUCAAGAAUGACUCGAGAAAGGGAAACCAACAUUUUGGGAUCUCGGCUUUUAAUUUAUGGCAUAAACAUUGGGCAUGGUUUUCAACAUAUGUUGAAGCCUUCUCUGCCUGUAUUCGGGGUGACGAAAUUCAAGUACCUACAGGGUUGUCUUGAUGAAAUAAACAAUUGCCUAGAAAUCCGAUCGCUAACGACGGGAUGCUAGAACUACAGGUUUUUCUUUCGGGUCGUAAAUUAUACAAGACUUCACACGCAGAGGAUUUUUGCUGAUUAUGCAACAACCUCAAGCCGAUAUGGAAAUGAAGGGAUGAUCGUAAAAUGGGUUGAGAAGAAUGAUCUGAUUGUUUUUGCAACAAGAAAAAACUUGGAAAUGCAUAACCUUCCCCGAAAGAGAAAGGUAAUCACAGACGACGAUCAUAAUUGGAUCGUAAAAUUAUGUUUAUGGACGACCGUCCACGCAUCCAUGCUUAGAAGGCGUGAAAACUCUAACGCAUGAGUGAUCGUAAAACUAAGACGGGUGACGAAGAAAAGUAAACACUAUAAAUUUACGAUCGCCCGGUGCGUUCAUGAAAAAUCAAGUUCGGGGAUGAUGAUGGUUGGUGUGGCCCUUGAUGACUCAGCCACUAAGGGAAGAAAUUUUGAGAUUGAAUUCGCGAGUAAUUUCGCUCUCCUCAGAAUUUUGGUAUGAUCUCACAGAUGUGAGAAUGUGGAUGGGGGAUGCUAUGAUGCAUCGGAGAUUUAGCCUUUCUGUAUUCUGUUUUGGGGAGAGUUGUUGGGAGGUCCGAAUCUCAGAGGUGAGAAUAAAUUGGCCAUUCGAUCUGGAGGCUCAAUUAAUCUCGCAGAUGUGAGAUGGCGAAAUGGGGGGCAUAGGGAAAAUUGAUCAUCCGUGCAGGGGAGAGAUUAGAAUUGCUCUCACGGAUGGGGGAGAUGCAAAUAUUAGAAAGGAGCGUAAUUAAAAAUCAAUUACGCAUGGGGGCAUUGGGAAAUUAAUUUCUCUUUGGUAUGGGGAGAGUCCUGGAGAAUCUUUGAUCAGGAGAAUAAGAGUUGAUGGUUAGGGAGAGGACCCCUAUAUAAAGGGUUGCAGAUCCAAGGAUCGCGGCGGCUGCCACUGCUGGUCUCGUCAUAUUAUUUUUUUUCCUAGAAGUUUCUGUAGUCAGUUUAGUUUAGGCUGUUAGCAGGUGUUUCAGUUUUCAGUGCAUUUAGUCAAUGAGUCAGUUAGUCGGGUUUUUCUUGUAAGACAGUAUUUUUGUUAAAAAGAAGAAUAAAGUGGUGUAGUGUUAACAAGUGUUGGUGAAUCUAUUGAAAUGAUGACAUAUCUUUAAGACUGCGAGUUCGAAUUACUAAGUAUCGGU
This is a long non-coding RNA of Aedes albopictus (Asian tiger mosquito), 3262 nucleotides long. RefSeq lists it as uncharacterized. NCBI's taxonomy places the organism in Eukaryota, Metazoa, Arthropoda, Insecta, Diptera, Culicidae. The record is from RefSeq and is a predicted model, not a curated record. The transcript has 2 exons.